Molecule: ribosomal RNA, 213 nt
Filed under: Paenibacillus elgii
Lineage: Bacteria; Bacillati; Bacillota; Bacilli; Caryophanales; Paenibacillaceae
Description: partial 16S ribosomal RNA
Rfam family: Bacterial small subunit ribosomal RNA
Source: RNAcentral
UUUAAUGGAGAGUUUGAUCCUGGCUCAGGACGAACGCUGGCGGCGUGCCUAAUACAUGCAAGUCGAGCGGACCCUUCGGGGUUAGCGGCGGACGGGUGAGUAACACGUAGGCAACCUGCCUGUAAGACUGGGAUAACUACCGGAAACGGUAGCUAAGACCGGAUAAGUGAUUCUCUUGCAUGAGAGGAUCAAGAAACACGGGGUAACCUGUGG